CCUACGGGGGGCAGCAGUGGGGAAUAUUGGGCAAUGGAGGCAACUCUUACCCAGCAAUGCCGCGUGAAUGAAGAAGGUCUUCGGAUUGUAAAGUUCUUUAAUUGGGGACGAAAAAAAUGACGGUACCUCUUGAAUAAGCCACGGCUAACUACGUGACAGCAGCCGCGGUAAUACGUAGGUGGCAAGCGUUGUCCGGAUUUACUGGGUGUAAAGGGCGUGUAGCCGGGCUGACAAGUCAGAUGUGAAAUUCCGGGGCUCAACCCCGGACCUGCAUUUGAAACUGUUGGUCUUGAGUAUCGGAGAGGUAGGCGGAAUUCCUAGUGUAGCGGUGAAAUGCGUAGAUAUUAGGAGGAACACCAGUGGCGAAGGCGGCCUGCUGGACGACAACUGACGGUGAGGCGCGAAAGCGUGGGGAGCAAACAGGAUUAGAUACCCGAGUAGUC
Molecule: ribosomal RNA, 443 nt
Filed under: uncultured bacterium
Lineage: Bacteria
Description: partial 16S ribosomal RNA
Rfam family: Bacterial small subunit ribosomal RNA
Source: RNAcentral